Molecule: ribosomal RNA, 491 nt
Filed under: uncultured bacterium
Lineage: Bacteria
Description: partial 16S ribosomal RNA
Rfam family: Bacterial small subunit ribosomal RNA
Source: RNAcentral
AGUGAACGCUGGCGGUAGGCCUAACACAUGCAAGUCGAACGGCAGCACAGUAAGAGCUUGCUCUUACGGGUGGCGAGUGGCGGACGGGUGAGGAAUACAUCGGAAUCUACUUUUUCGUGGGGGAUAACGUAGGGAAACUUACGCUAAUACCGCAUACGACCUACGGGUGAAAGCAGGGGAUCUUCGGACCUUGCGCGAUUGAAUGAGCCGAUGUCGGAUUAGCUAGUUGGCGGGGUAAAGGCCCACCAAGGCGACGAUCCGUAGCUGGUCUGAGAGGAUGAUCAGCCACACUGGAACUGAGACACGAUACAGACUCCUACAGGAGGCAGCAGUGGGGAAGAGAGGACAAUGGGCGCAAGCCUGAUCCAGCCAUACCGCGUGGAUGAAGAAGGCCUUCGGGUUGUAAAGCCCUUUUGUUGGGAAAGAAAAGCAGCAGGUUAAUACCCCGCUGUUCUGACGGUACCCAAAGAAUAAGCACCGGCUAACUUCGU